UGGCUCAGAACGAACGCUGGCGGCGCGUCUUAAGCAUGCAAGUCGAGCGGUAAGCUGUAGCAAUACAGCCUAGAGCGGCGGACUGGUGAGUAACACGUGGGUGACCUACCCUUAGGAUGGGGAUAGCCACUAGAAAUAGUGGGUAAUACCGAAUGUGGUUACCGGGCUGUGGCCUGGUAAAGAAAGGAGCUUUGGCUCCGCCUGAGGAUGGGCCCGCGUCCCAUUAGCUCGUUGGUGAGGUAACGGCCCACCAAGGCGAUGAUGGGUAGCCGGCCUGAGAGGGUGAACGGCCACACUGGGACUGAGAUACGGCCCAGACUCCUACGGGAGGCAGCAGCUAAGAAUAUUCCGCAAUGGACGAAAGUCUGACGGAGCGACGCCGCGUGGAUGAUGAAGGCCGAAAGGUUGUAAAAUCCUUUUGUCGAUGAAGAAUAAGCAUGGGAGGGAAUGCCCGUGUGAUGACGUUAGUCGGCGAAUAAGCCCCGGCUAAUUACGUGCCAGCAGCCGCGGUAACACGUAAGGGGCGAGCGUUGUUCGGAAUUAUUGGGCGUAAAGGGCGCGUAGGCGGUCCUGUAAGCCCGGCGUGAAAACCUGGAGCUCAACUCCGGGCCUGCGCUGGGAACUGCGGGACUAGAGUCAUGGAAGGGAAGUUGGAAUUCCAGGUGUAGGGGUGAAAUCUGUAGAUAUCUGGAAGAACACCGGUGGCGAAGGCGAACUUCUGGCCAAUGACUGACGCUGAGGCGCGAAAGUGCGGGGAGCAAACAGGAUUAGAUACCCUGGUAGUCCGCACCAUAAACGAUGUACACUAGGCGUUGGGUCGAGUGACUCAGUGCCGAAGCUAACGUGAUAAGUGUACCGCCUGGGGAGUAUGCCCGCAAGGGUGAAAC
Molecule: ribosomal RNA, 887 nt
Filed under: uncultured bacterium
Lineage: Bacteria
Description: bacterial SSU rRNA
Rfam family: Bacterial small subunit ribosomal RNA
Source: RNAcentral